UGUGUAGGCGGUUGGAUAAGUGUGGUGUGAAAUCUCCCGGCUUAACUGGGAGGGUGCGCUACAGACUGUCUGACUAGAGUGUGGGAUGGGAGAGUGGAAUUCCUGGUGUAGCGGUGAAAUGCGUAGAUAUCAGGAGGAACACCGGUGGUGUAGACGGCUCUCUGGACCAUAACUGACGCUGAGACACGAAAGCGUGGGUAGCAAACAGGAUUAGAUACCCUGGUAGUCCACGCCCUAAACGAUGCAUAUUUGGUGUGGGUCAUUCAUUUGAUCCGUGCCGGAGCUAACGCGUUAAAUAUGCCGCCUGGGGAGUACAGUCGCAAGGCUGAA
RNAcentral lists this ribosomal RNA (330 nucleotides) under uncultured bacterium. Its description in RNAcentral is "bacterial SSU rRNA". It matches the Rfam family "Bacterial small subunit ribosomal RNA", at positions 568 to 898 of the family's 1533-position model. The record is from RNAcentral.